This 406-nucleotide ribosomal RNA is filed under the name uncultured bacterium. RNAcentral's name for it is "partial 16S ribosomal RNA". It matches the Rfam family "Bacterial small subunit ribosomal RNA", at positions 29 to 526 of the family's 1533-position model. The record is from RNAcentral.
AUUGAACGCUGGCGGCAGGCUUAACACAUGCAAGUCGAGCGAGCGGCGGACGGGUGAGUAAUGUCUGGGAAACUGCCUGCUGGAGGGGGAUAACUACUGGAAACGGUAGCUAAUACCGCAUACCAUCAGAUGUGCCCAGAUGGGAUUAGCUAGUGGGGGGGGUAAUGGCUCACCUAGGCGACGCUCCCUAGCUGGUCUGAGAGGAUGACGGGCAACACUGGAACGGGGACACGGCCCAGACUCCUACGGGAGGCAGCAGUGGGGAAUAUUGCAAAAUGGGCGCAAGCCUGAUGCAGCCAGGCCGCGUGUGUGAAGAAGGCCUUCGGGUUGUAAAGCACUUUCAGCGAGGAGGCGUUACUCGCAGAAGAAGCACCGGCUAACUCCGUGCCAGCAGCCGCGGUAAUUC